AUCACCUAGGGAUCUUGUUAUUAUGCAGAUUCUGAUUCAAUAGGUCUGGGGCAGGCUGAGAUUCUACAUUUCUAACAAGCUCCCUGGUGAUGCUGCU
Loxodonta africana (African savanna elephant) is the source of this 97-nucleotide microRNA precursor. Lineage: Eukaryota; Metazoa; Chordata; Mammalia; Proboscidea; Elephantidae. The record is from Ensembl.